GCAUAUCAAUAAGUGGAAGAAAAAAGAACUAACAAGGAUUCCCCUAGUAACUGCGAGUGAAGAGGGAAAAGCUCAAAUUUAAAAUCUGGCAGUUUCACUGUCCGAGUUGUAAUUUAGAGAAGUGUUACCCGCGUUGGACCGUGUAUAAGUCUCCUGGAACGGAGCGUCAUAGAGGGUGAGAAUCCCGUCUUUGACACGGACUACCAAGGCAUUGUGGUACGCUCUCGAAGAGUCGAGUUGUUUGGGAAUGCAGCUCUAAAUGGGUGGUAAAUUCCAUCUAAAGCUAAAUAUUGGCGAGAGACCGAUAGCGAACAAGUACCGUGAGGGAAAGAUGAAAAGAACUUUGGAAAGAGAGUUAAACAGUACGUGAAAUUGCUGAAAGGGAAACGCUUGAAGUCAGUCGCGUUGGCCGGGGAUCAGCCUUGCUUUUGUGAGGUGUACUUCCUGGUUGACGGGUCAGCAUCAGUUUCGACCAUUGGAAAAAGGCUUGGGGAAUGUGGCAUCCUCGGAUGUGUUAUAGCCCCUUGUCGUAUACAGUGGUUGGGACUGAGGAACUCAGCACGCCGCAAGGCCGGGUUUCGACCACGUUCGUGCUUAGGAUGCUGGCAAAAUGGCUUUAAGCGACCCGUCUUGAAACACGGACCAAGGAGUCUAACAUGCUUGCGAGUGUUUGGGUGGUAAACCCGAGCGCGUAAUGAAAGUGAAAGUUGGGAUCUCUGUCGUGGAGAGCACCGACGCCCGGACCAGAUGUUUACUGACGGAUCUGCGGUAGAGCACGUAUGUUGGGACCCGAAAGAUGGUGAACUAUGCCUGAAUAGGGCGAAGCCAGAGGAAACUCUGGUGGAGGCUCGUAGCGAUUCUGACGUGCAAAUCGAUCGUCGAAUUUGGGUAUA
RNAcentral lists this ribosomal RNA (893 nucleotides) under Marasmius inflatus. RNAcentral describes it as "LSU rRNA". It matches the Rfam family "Eukaryotic large subunit ribosomal RNA", at positions 38 to 919 of the family's 3401-position model. The record is from RNAcentral. Lineage: Eukaryota; Fungi; Basidiomycota; Agaricomycetes; Agaricales; Marasmiaceae.